Molecule: ribosomal RNA, 256 nt
Filed under: uncultured archaeon
Lineage: Archaea
Description: partial 16S ribosomal RNA
Rfam family: Bacterial small subunit ribosomal RNA
Source: RNAcentral
UAAUACGAAGGGAGCUAGCGUUGUUCGGAAUUACUGGGCGUAAAGGGCGCGUAGGCGGUCUUAUAAGUUUGGUGUGAAAGCCCUGGGCUUAACCUGGGAACUGCAUUGAAUACUGUAAGACUUGAGACCGAGAGAGGGAAAUGGAAUUGCGAGUGUAGAGGUGAAAUUCGUAGAUAUUCGCAAGAACACCAGUGGCGAAGGCGAUUUCCUGGCUCGGUACUGACGCUAAGGCGCGAAAGCGUGGGGAGCAAACAGG